ACUUGAAUAGCUCAGUUGGUAGAGCAUGAGGCUCUUAAUCUCAGGCUCGUGGGUUUGAGCCCCUCAUUGGGUA
RNAcentral lists this transfer RNA (73 nucleotides) under Podarcis lilfordi (Lilford's wall lizard). It matches the Rfam family "tRNA". From Rfam's summary of the family: Transfer RNA (tRNA) molecules are approximately 80 nucleotides in length. Their secondary structure includes four short double-helical elements and three loops (D, anti-codon, and T loops). Further hydrogen bonds mediate the characteristic L-shaped molecular structure. tRNAs have two regions of fundamental functional importance: the anti-codon, which is responsible for specific mRNA codon recognition, and the 3' end, to which the tRNAs corresponding amino acid is attached (by aminoacyl-tRNA synthetases). tRNAs cope with the degeneracy of the genetic code in two manners: having more than one tRNA (with a specific anti-codon) for a particular amino acid; and 'wobble' base-pairing, i.e. permitting non-standard base-pairing at the 3rd anti-codon position. Lineage: Eukaryota; Metazoa; Chordata; Lepidosauria; Squamata; Lacertidae. The record is from Rfam by way of RNAcentral.